GAUGAACGCUAGCUACAGGCUUAACACAUGCAAGUCGAGGGGCAGCGGGUUGAAAGCUUGCUUUCAAUGCCGGCGACCGGCGCACGGGUGCGUAACGCGUAUCAAACCUGCCUCAUACUCGGGGAUAGCCUUGCGAAAGUAAGAUUAAUACCCGAUGUUAUUAGUUCAUCGCAUGGUGGGCUAAUCAAAGAUUUAUCGGUAUGAGAUGGUGAUGCGUCCGAUUAGGUAGUAGGCGGGGUAACGGCCCACCUAGCCUUCGAUCGGUAGGGGUUCUGAGAGGAAGGUCCCCCACACUGGAACUGAGACACGGUCCAGACUCCUACGGGAGGCAGCAGUGAGGAAUAUUGGUCAAUGGACGAAAGUCUGAACCAGCCAAGUAGCGUGCAGGAUGACGGCCCUCCGGGUUGUAAACUGCUUUUAGUUGGGAAUAAAAAAAGGGACGUGUCCCUUCUUGUAUGUACCUUCAGAAAAAAGGACCGGCUAAUUCCGUGCCAGCAGCCGCGGUAAUACGGAAGGUCCAGGCGUUAUCCGGAUUUAUUGGGUUUAAAGGGAGCGUAGGCGGAUUGUUAAGUCAGCGGUUAAAGGGUGUGGCUCAACCAUACAUUGCCGUUGAAACUGGCGAUCUUGAGUGCAGACAGGGAUGCCGGAAUUCGUGGUGUAGCGGUGAAAUGCUUAGAUAUCACGAAGAACUCCGAUCGCGAAGGCAGGUGUCCGGGCUGCAACUGACGCUGAGGCUCGAAAGUGUGGGUAUCAAACAGG
Molecule: ribosomal RNA, 759 nt
Filed under: uncultured Prevotella sp.
Lineage: Bacteria; Pseudomonadati; Bacteroidota; Bacteroidia; Bacteroidales; Prevotellaceae
Description: bacterial SSU rRNA
Rfam family: Bacterial small subunit ribosomal RNA
Source: RNAcentral